GACGAACCGUGCGAACGUUGUUCGGAUUCACUGGGCUUAAAGGGCGCGUAGGCGGGUGAUCAAGUCAGGGGUGAAAUCCUCCAGCUUAACUGGAGAAUAGCCCUUGAUACUGGUCGUCUUGAGGAAGGUAGGGGCAUGUGGAACUUCCGGUGGAGCGGUGAAAUGCGUAGAUAUCGGAAGGAACGCCGGUGGCGAAAGCGACGUGCUGGACCUUUUCUGACGCUGAGGCGCGAAAGCCAGGGGAGCAAACGGG
Molecule: ribosomal RNA, 253 nt
Filed under: uncultured prokaryote
Description: partial 16S ribosomal RNA
Rfam family: Bacterial small subunit ribosomal RNA
Source: RNAcentral